AACGAACGCUGGCGGCGCGCCUAAUACAUGCAAGUCGAACGAGAAGGUGUAGCAAUACACUUGUACACUGGCGAACGGGUGAGGAAUGCAUGGGCAACCUACCCUCGAGUGGGGAAUAACCAGCCGAAAGGUUGGCUAAUACCGCGUACGCUUCCGGGUCUCCGGAUCCGGAAGGAAAGUCACACCGUGGGUGUGACGCUCAAGGAUGGGCUCAUGUCCUAUCAGCUUGUUGGGAGGUAACGGCUCACCAAGGCAACGACGGGUAGCUGGUCUGAGAGGACGAUCAGCCACACUGGCACUGCGACACGGGCCAGACUCCUACGGGAGGCAGCAGUAAGGAAUAUUGCGCAAUGGGCGAAAGCCUGACGCAGCGACGCCGCGGUGGGGGA
This 389-nucleotide ribosomal RNA is filed under the name uncultured bacterium. RNAcentral describes it as "bacterial SSU rRNA". It matches the Rfam family "Bacterial small subunit ribosomal RNA", at positions 29 to 408 of the family's 1533-position model. The record is from RNAcentral.